GAAGUAAAAGUCGUAACAAGGUUUCCGUAGGUGAACCUGCGGAAGGAUCAUUAUCGAGUUUGAAAGGGGUUUGCAGCUGGCUCUCCGGAGUAUGUGCUCGCCUCGCUCAUCCACUCUACACCUGUGCACUAUCUGUGGGCUUCGGCCUACGUCUUCACACAAACAAUAUGUAUCAGAAUGUAAUACCGCGUCUAACGCAAUAAUACAACUUUCAACAACGGAUCUCUUGGCUCUCGCAUCGAUGAAGAACGCAGCGAAAUGCGAUAAGUAAUGUGAAUUGCAGAAUUCAGUGAAUCAUCGAAUCUUUGAACGCACCUUGCGCUCCUUGGUAUUCCGAGGAGCAUGCCUGUUUGAGCGUCGUGAAUCUCUCAACCCACAAAUUGUUUGUUCAGUUUGUGCGGCUUGGACUUGGAGGCAUUGCUGGCGAUGRUCAGCUCCUCUUAAAUGUAUUAGCUGGGCUUAGCUCGGUGGAACGGUUAGUGUGAUAAUUAUCUGCGCUGCCUACUACAUCGGAUCCCGCUUCUAAUCGUCCGCAAGGACAAUUCACUUUGAAUCUGACCUCAAAUCAGGUAGGACUACCCGCUGAACUUAAGCAUAUCAAUAAGCGGAGGAAAAGAAACUAACAAGGAUUCCCCUAGUAACUGCGAGUGAAGCGGGAAAAGCUCAAAUUUAAAAUCUGGCGGUCUUUGGCCGUCCGAG
RNAcentral lists this ribosomal RNA (699 nucleotides) under Vuilleminia comedens. RNAcentral describes it as "eukaryotic LSU rRNA". The stretch from base 207 to 360 matches the Rfam family "5.8S ribosomal RNA". Lineage: Eukaryota; Fungi; Basidiomycota; Agaricomycetes; Corticiales; Vuilleminiaceae. The record is from RNAcentral.